This 653-nucleotide long non-coding RNA is filed under the name Monodelphis domestica (gray short-tailed opossum). Its description in RNAcentral is "lncRNA (ENSMODG00000031717.2)". The record is from RNAcentral. Lineage: Eukaryota; Metazoa; Chordata; Mammalia; Didelphimorphia; Didelphidae.
GGUCCUUAAGGGAAGAGAAUAGAUGCAGGAGUGAAAAUGAGGUUGGGAAACUAGCAUAUUGGACAGUGGGAAAAGUGACUUAGGGAUAUUAUAUUACUCACCAUUCUAACCUUCACUCUGCAAACUACCUCCUGGGGAUGGCCUUCUUUCACGGGGAAGCUGUGUUGAACUUAUACUACCCGGGGCUCCAGUCUGCAACAAAUCUAGUACAGAAUCCAUGUCCUUCAUCCUCCAGUUCAUCACCUGGUGAUCAGCAGCCUUCUGGUGAUAAAUAUCUUCAAAAAGGCAGUGAGGUGGCACACUGAAGAGAGCGCUGAGCCUGUAGGAAGACCUGGAUUUACAUCAGUACUAGCUGAGUGUUCCUGAGGCCACUCACAACCAUUUUUUACUUCAGUUUCCUCAUCUGUAAAAUGGGAAUAAUAAUAACUCCUACCUCCCAGAAUGAUUGUAUGGAUCAAAUGAGAUAAUAUUUGCAAAGCAUUGAGUAGAGUCUGACAUAUAAUAGGUUCUACAUAAAUGCAUAUUUCCUUCACCUUUUUUCCACUUUAUCUUCUUUUAAUAAUUUUAUUUUGGAUAAUAAUCUGUAAUAAGAUUGAAUAUUCAUUUUAUUGGAAGCUGAACAAACAUUGAUUAAACACCUAUUUACAUGUCAA